Molecule: ribosomal RNA, 500 nt
Filed under: uncultured bacterium
Lineage: Bacteria
Description: partial 16S ribosomal RNA
Rfam family: Bacterial small subunit ribosomal RNA
Source: RNAcentral
GACGAACGCUGGCGGCGUGCUUAACACAUGCAAGUCGAACGGGUCUGCCCUGUUUUUUGCGGGGUGGGUCAGUGGCGAACGGGUGAGUAACACGUGAGUAACCUGCCCCUCACUUCUGGAUAACCGCUUGAAAGGGUGGCUAAUACGGGGUGUUCUGGCUGUGCCGCAUGGUGUGGCUGGGAAAGAUUCACUUUUGUGGUGUUUUGGUGGGGGAUGGGCUCGCGGCCUAUCAGCUUGUUGGUGGGGUGAUGGCCUGCCAAGGCUUUGACGGGUAGCCGGCCUGAGAGGGUGGGCGGUCACACUGGGACUGAGAUACGGCCCAGACUCCUGCGGGAGGCAGCAGUGGGGGGUAUUGCACAAUGGGCGGAAGCCUGAUGCAGCGACGUCGCGUGAGGGAUGGAGGCCUGCGGGUUGUGAACCUCUUUCGCCGGUGAAGAGGGUCCUGCUCUUUGUGGUGGGGUUGACGGUAGCCGGGUUAUGAAGCGCCGGCUAACUACGUG